Long non-coding RNA from Esox lucius (northern pike), 842 nucleotides. RefSeq lists it as uncharacterized. NCBI's taxonomy places the organism in Eukaryota, Metazoa, Chordata, Actinopteri, Esociformes, Esocidae. The transcript has 2 exons. The record is from RefSeq and is a predicted model, not a curated record.
AAAGCAUGGGUCUCAAUCUGGGAGAGAGAGAGAGAAAGAGGCCCUGAACCGAUAAGGAACUUUUCAGCGGGUCGGAACAAGCUGUCCCAACUCUCCCUCCUUUUUCUCUGUGCUGUUGACGUCUAAGAGGAAGAUAGCAGAUUAUUAUGUAGCCAGUCCAACCUGGGUUACAACGGCCAACGAACUGCAGCCAAUCAACCUCAGAUGAGGCACACCGGGUCUGUCGCACUUGUUGCUGGCAACUUUAACGUGGGUGUUUUUAGGGGGCAGCUCCGCAGGUGCAAAAUCAAGGAGGGGGCAUAAGUGCUGACGGAGCUCAGGAAACUGCUACUGUGUCUUUCUCAAACAUCUUCAAGGUCACUGGGGAGUGAUAAAUGCCCCAUGAGAAGGUGUUUGCUUUGGGGAGAAGGCUCAGCAGCUACACAGGGUCCUCACAUCAGCUGGUCGGAGAGGGGUAUCUUCACUCGCUGUUCCUUUUUCCUAUGCAUAUACCUCUUUGAGAUCUAGCUUUAAAGAGGCAUAGGGCAUGGGAAAAUGGGGCUGCAGAGGUAUUUCACUGACUAUCCCUGGUCAACCACCUCAGCCCAAAGUAAUCCCAGCUCCCCCCAUCUUUAACCUGGAGGACUCCCGAAAACCAGAUCACACCACUAGGAAUUCAGUGGAGCCUCCAUGUCAUAAUGACCUAAGAAAAAUCGAUUUUGCAGUGCCCUGAAACAAUCGGUAAUCAUCGUCUGAUAGUUUCUAUAGUUUGUGCUUUGACUAUGGUGUAGUUCAUUUUGUCCAAUAACUUUUGUGUUGUCGACUUCCAAUUGCUUAAUAAAUAAAAAUCUGUUUUUUUUGUC